RNAcentral lists this transfer RNA (89 nucleotides) under Chloroflexota bacterium. Its description in RNAcentral is "tRNA-Ser". It matches the Rfam family "tRNA". From Rfam's summary of the family: Transfer RNA (tRNA) molecules are approximately 80 nucleotides in length. Their secondary structure includes four short double-helical elements and three loops (D, anti-codon, and T loops). The record is from RNAcentral. Lineage: Bacteria; Bacillati; Chloroflexota.
GGGGAGGUCGCAUAGAGGCCGAGUGCGGAGGUUUGCUAAACCUCUGAGUCGGGUUUCCGGCUCCGCGGGUUCGAAUCCCGCCCUCCCCG